GCGUCCUUAGUUCAGUUGGUAGAGCGUAGGUUUCCAAAACCUAAUGUCGUAGGUUCGAGUCCUACAGGACGCG
This 73-nucleotide transfer RNA is filed under the name Lobosphaera incisa. RNAcentral describes it as "tRNA-Trp". It matches the Rfam family "tRNA". Rfam says of the family: Transfer RNA (tRNA) molecules are approximately 80 nucleotides in length. Their secondary structure includes four short double-helical elements and three loops (D, anti-codon, and T loops). Further hydrogen bonds mediate the characteristic L-shaped molecular structure. tRNAs have two regions of fundamental functional importance: the anti-codon, which is responsible for specific mRNA codon recognition, and the 3' end, to which the tRNAs corresponding amino acid is attached (by aminoacyl-tRNA synthetases). tRNAs cope with the degeneracy of the genetic code in two manners: having more than one tRNA (with a specific anti-codon) for a particular amino acid; and 'wobble' base-pairing, i.e. permitting non-standard base-pairing at the 3rd anti-codon position. Lineage: Eukaryota; Viridiplantae; Chlorophyta; Trebouxiophyceae; Trebouxiales; Trebouxiaceae. The record is from RNAcentral.